RNAcentral lists this ribosomal RNA (253 nucleotides) under uncultured bacterium. RNAcentral's name for it is "partial 16S ribosomal RNA". It matches the Rfam family "Bacterial small subunit ribosomal RNA", at positions 524 to 776 of the family's 1533-position model. The record is from RNAcentral.
UACGGGGGGGGCAAGCGUUGUUCGGAAUUACUGGGCGUAAAGGGCUCGUAGGCGGCCAACUAAGUCAGACGUGAAAUCCCUCGGCUUAACCGGGGAACUGCGUCUGAUACUGGAUGGCUUGAAUCCGGGAGAGGGAUGCGGAAUUCCAGGUGUAGCGGUGAAAUGCGUAGAUAUCGCUUGGAACGCCAAUGGUGAAAACAGCUCGCUGGGGGUGUGCUGACGCUGAGACACGAAAGCCAGGGGAGCGAACGGG